GAGGACUGCACGAAAGAUGCUUUACAUUUGUAGGCAAAAAUAAUUGAACUAUAGCUCUCCAUAUACAAUUUUAUGUAAAAGGUAGAAUAUGCUUGGGUGUUGAUUCAGUUCUCAGUGCAGCUUACAUUACCAUCCCAUAGGUCUUGUGGUAUUCAAAUGUACUUUCUUGAAUACAAUGGGGUUAACUAGAAGACCUAAAUUGUGCAUAUUUGCAACAGAGAUAUAUACACAAAAAAAUUUUCUUGGCACUACCCUUUCGUGUAAAUAAUCCAAUUUAGCCUAGGUGCAAUCCCGUGUUGAAGAUAUAUAAACAAAAGAAAAGAGUGCAUCUCUUUUCUUUUGUGUGUAUGUGUGUG
Molecule: non-coding RNA, 356 nt
Organism: Pelobates cultripes (western spadefoot toad)
Lineage: Eukaryota; Metazoa; Chordata; Amphibia; Anura; Pelobatidae
Source: the annotation of a GenBank genome assembly